This 468-nucleotide ribosomal RNA is filed under the name uncultured bacterium. RNAcentral describes it as "partial 16S ribosomal RNA". It matches the Rfam family "Bacterial small subunit ribosomal RNA", at positions 28 to 507 of the family's 1533-position model. The record is from RNAcentral.
GACGAACGCUGGCGGCGUGCUUAACACAUGCAAGUCGAACGGAAAGGCCCUGCUUUUGUGGGGUGCUCGAGUGGCGAACGGGUGAGUAACACGUGAGUAACCUGCCCUUGACUUUGGGAUAACUUCAGGAAACUGGGGCUAAUACCGGAUAGGAGCUCCUUCUGCAUGGUGGGGGUUGGAAAGUUUCGGCGGUUGGGGAUGGACUCGCGGCUUAUCAGCUUGUUGGUGGGGUAGUGGCUUACCAAGGCUUUGACGGGUAGCCGGCCUGAGAGGGUGACCGGCCACAUUGGGACUGAGAUACGGCCCAGACUCCUACGGGAGGCAGCAGUGGGGAAUAGUGCACAAUGGGCGGAAGCCUGAUGCAGCAACGCCGCGUGCGGGAUGACGGCCGUCGGGUUGUAAACCGCUUUCGCCUGUGACGAAGCGUGAGUGACGGUAAUGGGUAAAGAAGCACCGGCUAACUACGUG